GACGAACGCUGGCGGCGUGCUUAACACAUGCAAGUCGAACGAAGUGGCGAACGGGUGAGUAACGCGUAAUCAACCUGCCCUUCAGAGGGGGACAACAGUUGGAAACGACUACUAAUACCGAAUAAGGAAGGAGGGGAUGGCUUCUGAUUAGCUAGUUGGAGGGGUAAGGGCCCACCAAGGCGAUGAUCAGUAGCCGGUCUUAGAGGAGUAACGGCCCCAUUUGGACUGAGACACGGCCCAGACCCCUACGGGGGGCAGCAGGGGGUAAUCUUCCGCAAUGGACGACAGUCUGACGGAGCAACGCCGCGGGAGUGAUGACGGCCUUCGGGUUGUAAAGCUCUGUUAAUCGGGACGCGGUACCGGAAUAGAAAGCCACGGCUAACUACGUGCCAGCAGCCGCGGUAAUAC
Molecule: ribosomal RNA, 408 nt
Filed under: uncultured bacterium
Lineage: Bacteria
Description: partial 16S ribosomal RNA
Rfam family: Bacterial small subunit ribosomal RNA
Source: RNAcentral